CAUCCACAGAUGCUGGCUCAGCAAAGGCUGUGUUCUUUUGAAUCCUCUUAGCUUGGAGAGAGCUAAGGUGGUUCACAUCUUACUGCACAUCAACCAAGCUCUGCUCUGAAGCCUGCAUCACUAAUUUUCUGUGGAUUAUUUUCCUGUAAUAUUCCAUUUUGACACUGCCAACUUGAAUUACCUACAGCGUGCUCUAUUUUAGAUGAACACUGAAAACAGAGCAGAUGCAGCAGUGCUGUUCAUCUCCUGUGACCUGAGACAGCAAGGCCAGACUACAUACUCCACUGUUCCGGGCCUUGAGGCUGUUGUGAGGCCAAGGCCCUCCCUCAACAUGGCUGCCACUCCCCAGUGCUGUGGACCGGCGGCAAGCAGCAGCGAGCCUCGGCUGGUGGCCGCGCUGAGAAAGCCUUUUCCCAUUGUUCCCAACAGGGUCUGUGUUUUAUGAAGCCUCACAGUAUAGCCAGUCGCCACCUCCCCCAAGGGCAAUGGCAGUUUUUGUUUCACGGAGAACAAUGAAUGAUGUUGGGCAGCCUAAAAACAAUUCUGCAUGUGGAAAAAACAACAACAACAAAAAUAACAGUGAGUGUGGCCAUUCAUAAUAAGCAUCUGUGAGGAAACAGCCUAUUGUGCCAGACUCUCUAUGGAGAAGCUGAGUGGUAGGUGGGUGGCAGCAUGCUUGUUUGCCACAGUGAAUGGGAGACCAGGAGUACCAUCCUUGGAGGAAAGAUGGAGAGGAAAAAUGGGCACGUGCUGAAGGAUGGCUCCAGGCACACACCAUUGGAGGCAAAAUACUAUUUUCCUGCUCAGAGGAGGAGGGACAAUGUCACUUCAACUCAGCAAUGGAGAAAUGGUGAACAGCUGAAGCAGGGGGCUCAGGGAAAAUGUGUGAGGAACUUGAACAGCCACUGCCACUAUCACAACGAGUACAGAAAAGCAAGGGACAUGGAAUAAGGCUGCUUGGUUGUGCUACCUUCCUCCCUCAGCAGUGGAGGUAACAAAACAUCUGGGAUUCAGUGUGCAGAAAGAAAGGAGUGCUAGGGUCUGUCUGUCUAUCUGUCUAUCUAUAUCCAU
This 1071-nucleotide long non-coding RNA is filed under the name Gallus gallus (chicken). RNAcentral's name for it is "lncRNA (ENSGALG00010025989.1)". The record is from RNAcentral. Lineage: Eukaryota; Metazoa; Chordata; Aves; Galliformes; Phasianidae.